CUCGUGAUAUUCCUUAAUCAAUUGCACUACACAAUGCAACUUUUCAUUCAUGAUGACACGAGGUCCCACAAUAAAGUGCACAGGUAAAUGAAAUAAAAACUUGAUAAAAUGCGUGUUUUCAUGAUCCUAUAGGGAAAAAUGUAAUUAUAAGUAUUGAAUGCUUUUUUUUGUAACUUUAUAUGGUUGUAAAAGCGUUGACCGUGCGCACAUUCAUACAAAAUGUACUUCAGUCAACGCUUUUACACCCCAAUAAAUUUACAAAAAAGAGAAUUCAAUUCUUAAUUAAAU
RNAcentral lists this long non-coding RNA (288 nucleotides) under Mytilus galloprovincialis (Mediterranean mussel). The record is from RNAcentral. Lineage: Eukaryota; Metazoa; Mollusca; Bivalvia; Mytilida; Mytilidae.